GCUAAAGGGCAUAGGCAAGGACAAUAGACUUGGAAUUUGGAAGAAUUCAUCUCUGCUGAAGAAUUCCCAGACCACUCAUGAAAACAGCAGGUUGCCUAACUCACCAGAGAAUAUUAAACCCAAAGUAAACCCUCCAUUGGUGUGCAAGCAAGUGAUUAGAGGAGGGUGUCUCAGCCGUGAGGACAAGAGCCCUCCAUGUGAGGGACCCUGAAAUUAACAUUAACUCAGAGAGUGAUUUCUUCUUGCUUCUAGAAACAGUUUGCUCUGACAGCUAUCUCAUUCAGGAGUGAAACGUAUGUUUUUGGCUGGAACAGUCCAUCUCCUGCCUCUGCAUUUCAGCCGGAAGCUAAGGGAGGUACACAAGUCCAGGGAGUUCUUCAGUUCUGGCAGAGCUGUAAGGACUUUCCUGUGGAGAAAUCACAGAGUAACAACUGCACAUGUUUCCCUCUGCUCUUUAAAUAAGCAGUCCUCCAUUUUCUGGGAUCGUUCCCAAAUACAAUAUACUAUAAUUGUAUAUCUUUUUUCCUGCAAAGGUAAUUCAUUUUAAAAUUCCUUGAAUACUCCUUAAUUUUAAUAUCUUUUCAAAUACCUUUCUACCAAUAAAUUCAGUCAUUCAUUUAAAAUAUUAUUAUGGGAUUAUGUUUUGUGAUUUUUAGCGUGGAAAAUAUGGUCAAUAUACUACUAGUUCAUGACCUUCGUUUGGCCACCCAGCUGUGUCCUGAGAAGCCUCCCUCUGGAGAAACUACUUUAAUUGGUCACCCCUGAAUGCAAGUGUGCUAGUGACAUUACUCUUAUCUGAUACAAAGUAAGCAUCUUCAGCCCUUGAUUUUCUGUUGUCUCUCUUUAUUUAACU
RNAcentral lists this long non-coding RNA (853 nucleotides) under Mus caroli (Ryukyu mouse). RNAcentral describes it as "lncRNA (MGP_CAROLIEiJ_G0004322.1)". Lineage: Eukaryota; Metazoa; Chordata; Mammalia; Rodentia; Muridae. The record is from RNAcentral.